AGGGGGGGGGGGGGAAGGA
RNAcentral lists this microRNA (19 nucleotides) under Corchorus olitorius. RNAcentral describes it as "osa-miR29". Lineage: Eukaryota; Viridiplantae; Streptophyta; Magnoliopsida; Malvales; Malvaceae. The record is from RNAcentral.